Long non-coding RNA from Peromyscus californicus insignis, 420 nucleotides. RefSeq lists it as uncharacterized. NCBI's taxonomy places the organism in Eukaryota, Metazoa, Chordata, Mammalia, Rodentia, Cricetidae. The record is from RefSeq and is a predicted model, not a curated record. The transcript has 3 exons.
CUCGAUUUGAACAGUCGAACAGUUCAGGAUUGUGAUUAUCAACAUCUCCUACAGAACCUGUUUUUAGAUUAGCAUCAUUUUGGCCAAGUAGAGGCUAGAGUAAGAACCAGAGCUAUCCUCUGCUCUCUGCCGUGUGUAAGUGGCUCAGCUCACCUAGGAAUAUUCCCUUGGCUCUUGGGCUCUUGGACAGUGGAGAAAAGGAAUGUUUGUGGGAAGGUAUUUGCUGGCUCAGCUGAGAACUGCAAGGCCGUUCGAUGGACACUGUAACUUGAUCUGGGAUGCACUGGUCUGAGACAGCUCGCCUUGAUGUCUAUCUACUCUUAUGGCCAUGAACAAGGAGUUUAGGAAGAUAAUCAAUAGUGUAUAAGUGAUUUUAGGAACUUUAAGUAAGAGAAAAAUAUAAGUUGCAAGAGGCCUUUG